GGUGCUAUGGUCUAAUGGUAAGGCGUUGGAUUGCAAAUCCUUUAUACUCUGGUUCGAAUCCGGAUAUCACCU
RNAcentral lists this transfer RNA (72 nucleotides) under Epipogium roseum. RNAcentral describes it as "tRNA-Cys". It matches the Rfam family "tRNA". Rfam says of the family: Transfer RNA (tRNA) molecules are approximately 80 nucleotides in length. Their secondary structure includes four short double-helical elements and three loops (D, anti-codon, and T loops). Further hydrogen bonds mediate the characteristic L-shaped molecular structure. tRNAs have two regions of fundamental functional importance: the anti-codon, which is responsible for specific mRNA codon recognition, and the 3' end, to which the tRNAs corresponding amino acid is attached (by aminoacyl-tRNA synthetases). tRNAs cope with the degeneracy of the genetic code in two manners: having more than one tRNA (with a specific anti-codon) for a particular amino acid; and 'wobble' base-pairing, i.e. permitting non-standard base-pairing at the 3rd anti-codon position. Lineage: Eukaryota; Viridiplantae; Streptophyta; Magnoliopsida; Asparagales; Orchidaceae. The record is from RNAcentral.